GAUGAACGCUAGCGGCAGGCUUAACACAUGCAAGUCGAGGGGUAACAGUCCCGUUCUUCGGAAUGGGAGCUGACGACCGGCGCACGGGUGAGUAACGCGUAUGCAACCUACCUUUAACAGGAGGAUAGCCCCGAGAAAUCGGGAUUAAUACUCCAUAACUUUUAUGAACUGCAUGGUUUAUAGAAUAAAGUUUCGGCGGUUAAAGAUGGGCAUGCGUGACAUUAGCUAGUUGGUGAGGUAACGGCUCACCAAGGCAUCGAUGUCUAGGGGUUCUGAGAGGAUUAUCCCCCACACUGGUACUGAGACACGGACCAGACUCCUACGGGAGGCAGCAGUGAGGAAUAUUGGUCAAUGGGCGAGAGCCUGAACCAGCCAUGCCGCGUGCAGGAAGACGGUUCUAUGAAUUGUAAACUGCUUUUCUACAGGAAGAAACCACCUUACGAGUAAGGUGUUGCCGGUACUGUAGGAAUAAGCAUCGGCUAACUCCGUG
This 490-nucleotide ribosomal RNA is filed under the name uncultured organism. RNAcentral describes it as "bacterial SSU rRNA". It matches the Rfam family "Bacterial small subunit ribosomal RNA", at positions 28 to 507 of the family's 1533-position model. The record is from RNAcentral.